UUUAGAACUCAAGAUAUGGGCUGAACCCCGCAUAAUGUCUGGGCUGCAGGACAGAUUCAGACUUUUCUUUUGUUGCUAAGAUUUGAACUUAAAAACAACAGUAGUGAAUCUUGGACUUUUCAUGAAUGUUUUAGAUCUAAGUCUUAGCUUUCCAUC
This is a non-coding RNA of Populus trichocarpa (black cottonwood), 156 nucleotides long. The record is from Rfam. NCBI's taxonomy places the organism in Eukaryota, Viridiplantae, Streptophyta, Magnoliopsida, Malpighiales, Salicaceae.